UGAAAACAGUCAAACUUACUUGUAGGGU
This 28-nucleotide non-coding RNA is filed under the name Rattus norvegicus (Norway rat). The record is from RNAcentral. Lineage: Eukaryota; Metazoa; Chordata; Mammalia; Rodentia; Muridae.